This 22-nucleotide non-coding RNA is filed under the name Rattus norvegicus (Norway rat). Lineage: Eukaryota; Metazoa; Chordata; Mammalia; Rodentia; Muridae. The record is from RNAcentral.
CAUUUUAUAGCAUGCAUGCCUU